RNAcentral lists this long non-coding RNA (348 nucleotides) under Medicago truncatula (barrel medic). RNAcentral's name for it is "long non-coding RNA (MTRU_LNC007251)". Lineage: Eukaryota; Viridiplantae; Streptophyta; Magnoliopsida; Fabales; Fabaceae. The record is from RNAcentral.
UACAUCAUCAAAAAUAUGGGGACUAGCUAGGGAAAUGGUCUCUCGAGCAAGAGUAUGAGCGACCACAUUCGCUUGUCUCCGACUAAACUUCACCUUAGAGUUUUCAAAACAAUCAUUGCAAUUCUUCCUACAUUCAUCCAUUAUAGCUCCAAACUCGGAUAUAUCAUUCCCGCCCUUAUUGAAAUAAUCCACAACUUUCUUGGCAUCCAACUCAAAAUCUACAUUCGAAAGUUGUAAUUCUCGCACCCAUUGCAUAGCAUGGUAAAGACCCAAUGCUUCGCCUACAUCCGAAGAGCAAACGGGAAUCGACCACAAUGUUUUAGCUUUGAUAAAAUUCUUGUAUUCAUC